This 254-nucleotide ribosomal RNA is filed under the name uncultured bacterium. Its description in RNAcentral is "partial 16S ribosomal RNA". It matches the Rfam family "Bacterial small subunit ribosomal RNA", at positions 524 to 776 of the family's 1533-position model. The record is from RNAcentral.
UACGGGGGGAGCAAGCGUUGUUCGGAUUUACUGGGCGUAAAGGGCGCGUAGGCGGCCACCGCAAGUCGACUGUGAAAUCUCCGGGCUUAACCCGGAAAGGUCAGCCGAUGCUGCGGGGCUAGAGUGCAGAAGGGGCAACUGGAAUUCUCGGUGUAGCGGUGAAAUGCGUAGAUAUCGAGAGGAACACCUGCGGCGAAGGCGGGUUGCUGGGCUGACACUGACGCUGAUGCGCGAAAGCUAGGGGAGCGAACGGG